GAGAGGGUGGUCUAGCGGCAAGGACAACGGCCUCACACGCCGUAGAUCGGGAGUUCGAAUCUCCCUCCUCUCA
This 73-nucleotide transfer RNA is filed under the name Microcaldota archaeon. RNAcentral describes it as "tRNA-Val". It matches the Rfam family "tRNA". From Rfam's summary of the family: Transfer RNA (tRNA) molecules are approximately 80 nucleotides in length. Their secondary structure includes four short double-helical elements and three loops (D, anti-codon, and T loops). Lineage: Archaea; Nanobdellati; Microcaldota. The record is from RNAcentral.